Long non-coding RNA from Oncorhynchus tshawytscha (Chinook salmon), 490 nucleotides. The record is from Ensembl. NCBI's taxonomy places the organism in Eukaryota, Metazoa, Chordata, Actinopteri, Salmoniformes, Salmonidae.
GCUAGGUGGAAACAAUGUAGCUAGAUGGAAAUAAGGUAGCUAGGUGGAAAUAAUGUAGCUAGAUGGAAAUAAGGUAGGUAGGGAGAAAUAAUGUAGCUAGGGGGAAAUAAUGUAGCUAGGUGGAAAUAAUGUAGCUAGGGGGAAAUAAUGUAGCUAGGGAGAAAUAAUAUAGCGAGGGGGAAAUAAUGUAGCUAGGGAGAAAUAAUGUAGCUAGGGAGAAAUAAUAUAGCGAGGUGGAAAUAACGUAGCUAGGUGGAAAUAAUGUAGCUAGGGAGAAAUAAUAUAGCUAGGGGGAAAUAAUGUAGCUAGGGAGAAAUAAUGUAGCUAGGGAGAAAUAAUGUAGCUAGGGAGAAAUAAUGUAGCUAGGGAGAAAUAAUGUAGCUAGGGAGAAAUAAUGUAGCUAGGGAGAAAUAAUGUAGCUAGGUGGAAAUAAUGUAGCUGGGGAGAAAUAAGGUAGCUAGGUGGAAAUAAUGUAGCUAGGGAGAAAUAA